GACGAACGCUGGCGGCGUGCUUAACACAUGCAAGUCGAACGGAAAGGCCCUGCUUUUGUGGGGUGCUCGAGUGGCGAACGGGUGAGUAACACGUGAGUAACCUGCCCUUGACUUUGGGAUAACUUCAGGAAACUGGGGCUAAUACCGGAUAGGAGCUCCUGCUGCAUGGUGGGGGUGGGAAAGUUUCGGCGGUUGGGGAUGGACUCGCGGCUUAUCAGCUUGUUGGUGGGGUAGUGGCUUACCAAGGCUUUGACGGGUAGCCGGCCUGAGAGGGUGACCGGCCACAUUGGGACUGAGAUACGGCCCAGACUCCUACGGGAGGCAGCAGUGGGGAAUAUUGCACAAUGGGCGGAAGCCUGAUGCAGCAACGCCGCGUGCGGGAUGACGGCCUUCGGUUUGUAAACCGCUUUCGCCUGUGACGAAGCGUGAGUGACGGUAAUGGGUAAAGAAGCACCGGCUAACUACGUG
RNAcentral lists this ribosomal RNA (468 nucleotides) under uncultured bacterium. RNAcentral describes it as "partial 16S ribosomal RNA". It matches the Rfam family "Bacterial small subunit ribosomal RNA", at positions 28 to 507 of the family's 1533-position model. The record is from RNAcentral.